AGACAGAUACCAGGCUUCCUUCUUCACUGCCGAGCAACCAGAAGCCACCUUCCGCCCCAGGCCCCAGAAUCAGCCCGAGAAAGCUCUCACCAGCCCCGGGCCUCGAGGUCACAGCAACUACACAAGGCACUGAUUGUAAGGAAACCAAGAACCGACUGACUAUUGCCAAAGAGCAUUCAGAAAUUGCUGAC
RNAcentral lists this long non-coding RNA (191 nucleotides) under Dasypus novemcinctus (nine-banded armadillo). Its description in RNAcentral is "lncRNA (ENSDNOG00000051094.1)". Lineage: Eukaryota; Metazoa; Chordata; Mammalia; Cingulata; Dasypodidae. The record is from RNAcentral.